This 249-nucleotide ribosomal RNA is filed under the name uncultured Eubacteriales bacterium. RNAcentral's name for it is "uncultured Clostridiales bacterium partial 16S ribosomal RNA". It matches the Rfam family "Bacterial small subunit ribosomal RNA", at positions 85 to 334 of the family's 1533-position model. Lineage: Bacteria; Bacillati; Bacillota; Clostridia; Eubacteriales. The record is from RNAcentral.
AAGUGGAUUAGCGGCGGACGGGUGAGUAACACGUGAGUAACCUGCCUUAGACAUUGGGAUAGCCUCGGGAAACCGGGAUUAAUACCAAAUAAAAUCAUAAUGACACAUGUCAUAACGAUCAAAACUCCGGUGGUCUAAGAUGGACUCGCGUCCCAUUAGCUAGUUGGUAGAGUAAAAGCCUACCAAGGCGACGGUGGGUAGCCGGCCUGAGAGGGUGAACGGCCACAUUGGAACUGAGAAACGGUCCAA